UUUCCGUAGGUGGACCUGCGGAAGGAUCAUUAUUGUAUAACCGAUGUGCGAGGUCUGUCGCUGACCCGUGAGGACUUUACCGCCCUGGUGCCCUCACUCACACCCAUCUCCCCCGUAGGGGCACCACCCCGUGGCUCCCCCUUUGCCUCGUUCGCAUGAGCGCUUAAGUUUCCACGCAAACUUUGUAUGCGUAUAAGUAUGUAUUUUUUGUUUUUGCGAGCACGCUAUCAAUCCAACUUGCAACAACGGAUCUCUUGUCUCUAGCAGCGAUGAAGAACC
RNAcentral lists this unclassified non-coding RNA (279 nucleotides) under plant metagenome. Its description in RNAcentral is "partial contains small subunit ribosomal RNA, internal transcribed spacer 1, and 5.8S ribosomal RNA". The record is from RNAcentral.